RNAcentral lists this long non-coding RNA (40835 nucleotides) under Gossypium raimondii (Peruvian cotton). RNAcentral describes it as "long non-coding RNA (GRAI_LNC008450)". The record is from RNAcentral. Lineage: Eukaryota; Viridiplantae; Streptophyta; Magnoliopsida; Malvales; Malvaceae.
CCCCCCCCCCUUUUUUGAUGAAUAUUGGUUUGUGGGUUUUGUUUUUGAAAUUCUUGGGUUGAAAACGUUGUAGAUUGGGGAGCCAUCGGCAGCUGCCAGGAUAUCUCAAAGAUUGAACAAGUUUGUCCACGAUGUUGAUGCAUCCAAUAAGUACUGAAAGGUACUGUCUUAAUGGGGUAAAUAAUCUGAAUCAUUGAUCUUAUAAACUACACCUAUUGUUAUGAAAUUAUAAAUGAUGUUUUCAAUUCCCCAUAUGAAAUCUUCUUGUUGUUUUAGGUUGGAAAUGGUGUUACUGAAUAUUUGGAAUAUAACACAGAAUCUAUUUUCCUGAAAUAUGCCACCUUUAUUUACAUAUGAAUUUCUAAUGAAUUAAUGUUUUUUUUUUCUUUUAAUUUUUAUAAAUUCAAAUAAAUAUUAGCCUAUUUUACUUGUUUCUAUUUUCGUUAGUCUUGUAUGUAAAGUACAUUUUAAAGCAAAGAAAGAAAGCCUUAACUUGUUUGGACCGAUGAAUCGCAAUACUUAACUCUUAAGAUUAUUAGCAAGAUGGUUGUUAAAAAAAAUGUAGGAGAUUCAAGUCAUACAGUCGCUUAAUUUUCAAAAAUAAUAUUCGUGAAAGAUUGGAAGAAAAGGUUUUCCCACCUAAGAAAAGCAUGUAAGUUUAGUAUAAAGGCAUGUUUGUAAUUUUCAGUGAAACUUCCUUUUGUUCUUUUUAGAUUAAUGGCAGGACAUAUAUUUACAUGGAAUGAGAAUUCAAUUAUGUUAUGAACAAAAAGGAAGUCAGUCAAUUGUGGAAGUCUUUGGAGAAGUUCUUAGGAAGUUGGAUCAUAUAAUAUUAUAAUACAAUAUAUGUAUGUUUGUUAAAAUUAUAUAAAUUCUAUUCUAUGUAUGAAAAAAGAAUAAAUUCAUCUGUAUGUAUUGAAUGACGUUUGCUUGCCUUUUUUUCUUUAUUUUUCUUCAAUUAAUUUAAAACAUCAUAUUUGUAGACUGGUGCAGAAGUAUAAAUAACACUUUAUUUUUAUAUAACGUUUACAAAUUUUGCUAUACAGUAGAACUCGUGUAUUGACCUGAGUAUGGUUUGAGUUUAAAUCACAGUACUUGUUUUGUUAUUAAAAUUUCACCUUCCUCUUAUAAUUCGUCAAAAAAAAUAUUAUCUUAAUAAAGUGAAAGUUGAAUAUACUAGUCAUUUUGCACUCACGCUACAAGUUGGAUUAAUUAUUUUUUUAAUUAUAAAGUAAACUUUUAAAUGUUAUAAUAUGUUAUAAUUUUUUAUAUUUGAAAUUUAGUUCUCAUACUUUUAUGUUAAAUUUAAAGUGAAUUUAAGUAAUGAAUAUUUUUUUCUCCAUAAAUUAAUGGAUAAUUAUUUAGUACACGAACAACAGAAAGUUUUUAUUCCACAAGUAGAGUUUAGAUUUUACCAUGUUUUUAUUUUAAUUUUUUAAAUACAAUUUAAGGAUAUAUAGCAAAAUCUCAAACCUACACGUGGAGCUAUAACUUUCCACCGCUAAUGUAUCAGAUAAAUAUUUUAAAUUAAUAUUGAAUAAUAGAUCUAAUAUUCAAAUAUGUAAUAUAUAAAUCGAUAAAAGAUAAAUUGAAUAAUUAACUUUUAUUAAACAUUUAAUGACUAUAUAAAACGAAAGAUUAGGGUUAGGUAUAGAUUAUCUUAGGUCAUAUUAUGGUAUUGGUCAUUCUACUAUGCUUACAUUUACGAUUUAAUCUAUAUACUUUUGUUUGAUCUAGUUUGGUCCCUCUAUUAUUAUAAUCUCGUUAGUCUCUAUUAUUAUAAUCCCGUUAGUUAAUCCAAAUAAUUAGCAUCCUUAGGGUAUGUUUCUAUAACAUAUAAUAAUUGGAUGAAAGUGUAACUACUAGGGUAGUAAUUUACAAAGAAUUGUAAUACCCUAGGUAUAUUUGGCUGAUAGAGUGUAAUUACAUCGUAAUCUCAUAAGUCAUGUUCAAUAGUACAAAUUGUAAUUGCACAAUUACGUAACUUGUAUUUUUAAAAAUAUUUAUUACUAUAAAAAAUUAUCAAUACGAUAAAAUAAUUUCUAAACGAGUAGCAAAAAUUAAAAUCAAAUCAUAAUAUGUAAUAUAUUAGUCCAAGAAAGUAGUUGAUAAUAUGACGACUAAUAAAAAUAACAAGAAAAAUAAAUAUUAUAAUGCAAUUUUAUCUAAUUUCUCUAGCAUUCCAUAUUAUUGGGUUAUUCCCUCUUUAACAUUUAACACAUGUCCAUUACUCAUUAUCAUCAUUUGUUGGUCCUUAAUCGAGUCCAUAAUCCAAAUCUGAAUCUAAAUCUAAAACUUUGUAUAUGUCAUUAAGAUUAUCAAGAUCUCCUUAUUCCAUAUACUUUUUGUAUGCAACAUGCUUGUACAACCCAACCUUUUUUUUUAUGCUAUAUUGAGGUGAUAUUGUUAAUAUAGGAAAUCUUUUUUAGAACAACAAAUAUUCUCUAAACCACAUUUCAAAGCUUCGAAUGUUUUAAAUUAAAGAGUUUGCAAGUACACAUUUUAUAUCAUAUAGCAUGGAAUGAAAUAAGUUAUGUCCAUAUUUUUUACCAUAAUUUUUUAUAUAUAAGUAUAUUAUAACACUUUUAGCUUUUAUAAAUUUUUUUAUAUUAUACAUUUUAGCCAUAACUUCAAAAAAAAUUAGAAUUUACAUAAUAUAAUUUUUCAUAUAAUUUUAUAAAAUUAAGAUACACAUAAAUUUCUUUUUACAAUAUAAAUUUUUUAAGAUUUAUAGUAUUAUUUUAGAAUUUUUUUGACAUAAUCACCCCAAACACUUAUAUGUGUUCAUACUUAUAAUAUAAUUUUUAUAACUUAAACUUGUAUAAAAAAUAAUUUCUUAAACUUAAAUCAUGUAAAACCAAUGUGCUAUAUAAGUGAAUAGUUAUAUUGGGAAUAUGUGUGAUAUAUCAGUAAUAGAAAACAAGGGUAUUCGAUACUGAAGGAAGUUGAAAUAAGUAAUAUGUUGUUAGAUAUUAAUUUGAGGUAUGGAUUAAACUUUUAAAAAAAAGAAAAUUGAAGGGGUUAAAUCAUAAAUAUUCAAAAGUUGAGGGGUUAAAUUAAAAAUAUAAAAAAUUUGAAGGACUAAAGUUACAAUUAUACCAAAAGUUGGAAUGGCUCAAUUGUAGAUAUUAAAAAUUUUCAAAGGCAAAAUAAUUAUUUUGCAAGUGAGAUAAUUUUGGUAAAAUUACCAAAAUGCUCUUAGACACAGUGUAUUGAAUUUGAGCUAUUGGAUUUGCUUGAUGAUGAAGGUAAUAAGGGCGAUUGGAUCAAAGAUAAAUAUAUUUAUUAUAAUUAUUAAUCAUGAAGUGUUGGCACAUCUUGAGCCAUUGGAUUUUGAUGGAAAGUGAGAUGAAAUAUUAGCCAUUAGAUUGAAAUUAUUAUUAUAAGAUAUUUUAUAUUAUUUUAUGAUUAUAAAAAGAGAAUAAUGAAUAAUUUUCUUCAUUCAUCCAUGCAUCACAUGUCCAUAGCAUGGAGGAAGAGAGAAAAUUUUGGUUCUCUUACAAUUCGGUUCUCCAUUAAAUUUCAACUUUUCAACCCUAAAUCUUAGAAAUAUAUGUAACGCCUAAAACCCGACCCGAUUCACUGGGUCUGGAUCCCGAGUGUUACUAAACGAUACAAAUUACUUAACAAAAAUAGUUUACAAUGUCUCAUUUAUUUUAAAAUUGUUAUUUGUAGCUCCAAAAGAAAAGCUUAACAUUUGGUAAUUUAAAAUAAAAUAUAUGAUAAAUAACUUAUUACAUCAUAUUUGAUACAUGUCUUUACAAGUUUGAAUUUUGUUUUAAGGCAGACUCAAAAGGCAUAUUCAAUAUUGCACCAUAAAUCCAUUGUAUGCAUAAUAGCCCACUCCACCACCAUCUUGGCGUAGUCCUAGCGUUGUCCCUCCAGGCGAAGCCUCUUCAACAACAAACCUAAAAAUAAUAACAAACCUUGUAAGUACAAAAGUACUUAAUGAACCCUACUAUAACCAUACAUUUAUGGAUACAUUGCAAUCUUGUAUGAAUUUGUACGAGUCAACCAUAUUCUGCACCAUUUAUUUCGGCGAUACCAUUACAAUGUUAUCAUUCUUUUAUACGCCAGUUAUCAUGUCCUUAUCAUAAUUAAUCUUCCAUAUCUUGUUAACUGAGGAAUCCUUCCAAUCAUUUCAUAAAUUCCUUGUCCCAUAAUACUUACCUAACAGAACAUACCCUUAGAAACUACUUCCAACAAUCCACACCUUAAUCCAUUCUCUUAUUUCAAACAACUACUUACUGACAUUAUCUUAGGUGGAUACAUAUAUAUGGCAGAUACUUAUGCAGAGUUUCAUACCAUUGGUUCACACUCAGACAUACCCUGAUCCAGAUCUGUACACAUAUUCAUACUGAUAAUCCACUACGUAUAACAUCCAAAUGAACUCCAUAUCAUGCUAUAUCAGAAUCUCAUAAUUCAAAAUGCCAUUAACUCAAAUUCAGAAUAAAUUUAGAAGAAGAUGUAAUAUCCCUCACUUUUCAUAUUUAUAGUUUAUUAUGAUAGAUACCCUUCUCAACAUACAGAUAUACAUUUCUUUUCUACAGAACCCUUAUGACUUUAUUCAACUCUUAUUCUUGAGCAUAUCAAUAAUUUAUCUUGGUCAUACUUAUUACAAAAGAGACAAAGAUUCAGAUUCAUAGCUUACAAAAUAUUCCUGAUAGUUAACACCACAUAAACUUAGCAAAGCACACCAUACAUGCAAUCAGAUAAAGUACGCCACUAAGGAGAUCCAUUUAGAGUUCGCCACAAAUGCAUUCCAUUUAGAGUUCGCCACAAAGGCUAUUCUUUGUUGUCAUGUUUACGAUAUGGAUUUUCUUAAACUCACAUUACAUGAGGUUUGCCCAUCAUCGUCCUGGGAUACACGGAGAACCCCAUUGGGUAAUCACCAUUCCCUAGUUCUUUUUCAGAGGGUACCAUGACCAUGGACUUUUCCUUCAGAGUUUAUAUCAGAAUUUAUGUUUUUAGUCCCAACGGACUCCAUUAGACACCACUACGAUGAACAGACCCAGACUCUCUUAACAGACACUUUAUGUAUUGACACAAUCUAAAUUCAACCUUUUUACUUCACUAACAUACACUCAAUCAGAACACACACAUCUCAUAGCAUACAUUUCAGACAUAUACAUACUCAACCAUACUUCAAUGUUUCAAUACUCGUACACUAAUGAUCAUAUAAUAUACUUUUCAUGACUUCGAAUCCAUUGUUCAAUCAGUUUCCUAUAGAUGACUCACAAUAUGAUCAGUAUACAUACAGGAGUCAACAUAAAACUCACCUGACGCCCACGUACAGCACCUUAAACUCCAGAUUCAAACUUCCAUCAUGAAACUACAGCAACCACUGCUUACAAAACAUAGGAACACCAUUAAAACUCUUUCGCAUACUAUUUACCAUCAUCUCGAGCAUAGAUAACCCCCAUGCAAAGCUUUAUUUCUCCAUCUUACUGUUAAUAUACCCAUACAAACUUAAACUUUCAUAACUUAACAUGCAGAGCCAUAAUACUUACCUUGACAUGGAGUAUCUACUGAUAAAAAUAUAGAAUUACAACUUCCAGCUUAAAGAAGAAAGAAAUGUUUUUGGUUCCUUAAAAAUAAGAUAAUAACACUUUAGAAGAAGGAAGAAGAAAACUCUCCUUUUUUUCAAACUUGAAUACAUAUAUAUACAACUUAUAUCCUUAUUAUGGAACUUGACAUGUGUCACAAUCUUUCAAAAUUGUCCUUAUUUUGGUCUACGACCCUUGAGAAGAACACAAAUGAUCAUCCAAUAAGUUUAUUUAUACCUAACUCAUCUACUCAAUUGAUUCCUAACCAGAAUGUUUACAACGUAACUAGCAUAGUAAUUUCAAUCAAACUUGGCGUACAAUACCUUUGGUAUUAACCCAACUUGCAAUUUCCCCAAUACUUUUACCGAGCUCUUAUUCUUUACAACUCAACACAUUUUAAGGUCAUUCUUUACCUAAUAUCUCAACUUCUGUUAUGUGCCCAUUCUAUACGCCUAAAAGAAACUAUUGGACGGAUAGAACUAUGCCACAUAUAUUACUCUCAAUUUACGCGCCAAAACUUAAGACCUGCCAAACCAAAGAUGCUACAAUUUCUAUAGCAACCAAAGAUAAGAAAGUGAUGAAAGUAUUAUAGACAAAGGAAAGAAAGUGAUAAAAGUGUGAAAGGAAGAAAAUAGAAGCAAAUAGAGUGAAAUUUAGCUAAAAAGAGUGUCCUGAAAGUGAUCAUGUGAAAAGUGUUCGUGAGUGGCUUACCGAAUCAUAUCGCAUCAACACAGUAAUAUGGAAAAGUAUGAAUUUCAAUUUAUGGACAAUAAUGUGGCAUGUACUUAGGUAAGGAAUGUGUUAAGUAGAUAGUGAAAUGCCUUGAAAACAAGUUUUGUUGAAGUGGGAAUGUCUUGAAGAUUGUGUGGUUAAUGAUUAGUGAUUGAACAUGGAUGUGUUACAUGAUGUUUUGAAGGUAUGUAUUGAGGUAUUUUAAAGAAAAGAAUGGAACUUAAGUGAUGUAUUAAUCUUGAAAUGUGACAUCUUUUGCUCGAGUUAUUGAUUUGACUCGUGUAAGGGAUGUUACAAUCGUUGAUUCUAUAAGAGUAGGGCCAAGUUGUAUAUCCAAUCACAUCCUAGUAGAGCACUCCAAGGCUCUACUACUAGCACUAUAUGGUCUUACAUUAUACGAUACCUAUUUAGUGGAAGCCACAUCAAACUCCUCUGUAUAACCCUCUUCGUUUUUAAAAAAAAAACUCCAAGCACUUAACACACCAUUGAAACCCUGCCCAACUUUUUACAUCUUCUUUAGUGGAUCUUAGUGUACUAGUGUGAACCACAUCCAACUAUGAUCUCAACCUUGUUUAGUGCUUCUCAACACACCUUUACGAACCAUGUUUGACUAUUGUCUAAAUGUUGCAUUGGCAAAACUAUAGUGAUAACAUAAAAAAAUUAUUAAUAUAGGCCACUUACAAAGCUAAGCUUUUAAUCUAAGUAUUUAAUAUUUAAAUUUUAAUAUUAAAAUGUCACUUAAAAAUUAAAUAUAAAACCACUUUUAAGUUUUACAUUAGUGCAAGGAGAUUCUUCCCACUUAAAAUAUAUUUAUUUGAGUAGCACUCAAAUAGUGGAGGCCCAAUUAGAGAUCCGAGUUCUCAUAUAAAUGUAAACAAAAGGCCCAAAUUCCUAUGGUAAACCUGUCAUUUAAGACAAUGUAGAUCCCCUCCGUCGGACUAGGGUUUUCUUUUAUCUUCUUACACACUUUUACUCUUUAUACACUUCGGCUCCACUGCAAGCAAAAUCUAGAGAUCCGUCGACAAUGGUAGGAGUUUUCGAAGUAGGCGCCGUUCCGUUUAAUCCUGACGGCUGGGGUCCGCCCGACUCCACCACCGCCACCGUGCCGUCCACCACCACCACUCUCCCUCCUCACGUUCCUUUCGCUCCCUUCUCCCGCUCUGAAAAACUCGGCCGAAUCGCCGACUUCACCCGAUCUUUUGCAAAUGCCAACCCAUCUAACCGCCCUUCUUCAGGGAAGCCUGGCGCAGCCUCCUCAGAGUCGCCCUUCGAUUUCUCGCUCGACCUCGAUACUUUCCCUCUUGCGUACCCCGAAGACGAUUCUUCCUUCCGUUUAGUCGACGCAAAGCCGCCCACGCGGCCUAAAUUUGGCCCCAAGUGGCGCUUCAACCAACACCGACCUCAACUUCCUCAACGGCGAGAUGAAGAAGUUGAGGCCCGUAAAAGAGAAGCUGAAAAAGAACGAGCCCGACGUGACCGUCUUUAUAAUCUCAACCGAUCGAACCAGAACCAGCAACGUCGUGAAGCUGCGAUUUUCAAAUCCUCCGUCGAUAUCCAACCAGAGUGGAACAUGCUGGAUCAAAUCCCUUUCUCAACAUUCUCCAAAUUAUCCUUUUCCGUUCCAGAACCUGAAGAUUUACUUCUCUGCGGUGCUUUAGAGUAUUACGAUCGCUCCUUUGAUCGAAUUACCCCGAAGAACGAACGGAGACUCGAGAGGUUCAAGAACAGAAACUUCUUUAAAGUCACCACGACUGACGACCCGGUGAUCCGAAGAUUGGCAAAUGAGGACAAAGCAACUGUUUUCGCCACUGAUACGAUUCUGGCAACGUUAAUGUGUGCACCCAGGUCAGUUUAUUCUUGGGACAUUGUGAUUCAACGUGUUGGGAAUAAACUAUUUUUCGACAAAAGAGAUGGGUCACAGUUAGAUUUGCUAUCAGUCCACGAGACCUCUCAGGAGCCAUUGCCUGAAGCUAAAGAUGAUAUUAACUCUGCUUAUUCAUUGAGUGUUGAAGCAGCUUACAUAAAUCAGAAUUUUUCACAGCAGGUUUUGGUUAGGGAUGGGAAUAAGGUUAGUUUUGAUGAGCCGAACCCAUUUGCCAAUGAAGGUGAUGAGGUGGCUUCUGUGGCAUAUAGGUAUAGGAGGUGGAAACUUGAUAAUGAUAUGUAUUUGAUUGCACGGUGUGAGGUUCAGAGUGUUGUUGAAGUUAAUAAUCAAAAGUCUUUCCUCACUUUGAAUGCGCUUAAUGAGUUUGAUCCCAAGUAUUCUGGUGUUGAUUGGAGGCAGAAGUUGGAAACACAAAGGGGGGCAGUCUUGGCUACCGAGUUGAAGAACAAUGCGAAUAAGUUGGCUAAAUGGACUGCUCAAUCAAUAUUAGCUAGUGCCGAUUUGAUGAAAUUGGGUUAUGUUUCGAGGGUUCAUCCUAGGGAUCAUUUUAACCAUGUGAUAUUGGGUGUUGUUGGUUAUAAGCCAAGGGAUUUUGCUGCACAAAUUAAUCUGAAUACUGCUAAUAUGUGGGGGAUUGUGAAGUCCAUUGUGGAUUUGUGUAUGAAGUUGAAUGAGGGGAAAUAUGUGCUUGUGAAGGAUCCAUCAAAGCCUCAAGUUAGGAUUUAUGAGGUCCCAGCUGAUGCUUUUGAGAACGAUUAUGUGGAAGAACCAUUGCCAGAAGAGGAGCAGGUUCAGCCACCUGCGGAGGAUACUGAAGCUGGGGAGCCGAAUGGCACUACAAAUGAUGUUGAGGCAAAAGAGACUGAGACACAAACUUAAUGGUAAUGGUUCCUUGGGAUUUUUCUUAAUAUAUUCCUCUGCAUUUUGUGUUGUGCCACUAGACUAUUAUCUCAAAGACUUCCAUGCAAGUUAAUUUCCCUUAUUCUUAUGUUAGUACUUGGCAUGUUGUAUGGAUCCAAAUAUUAUUGAGUUAACCACAGUGUGACAGUACCACAUACUAGUAUUUAUAACUUGAUUUUCUUUCUUUUUUUAAUAUACAAAUCGUUUGUAAUCAUAUGAAACUUGGCUUUUCAUGUUAUCUUAUCCUCCCUUAAUGAUGUUCAAUUUUCUUUUCUAUUUUACCAUUGCUCAUAAAAUUUUAAGAGGUUAGAAUUGUUUAGCCACUUCCCUACAACAUUUUGUUCAAUUCGAAAUCCUUCAAAUCUAUACAGUUCAUCUGGGGUUAUUGGAAAUAUCUUUUUGAUUUGGUGGUAUGUUGUAUGGCAUGCAAAUUUCAAAUUUCAAGAACUUUAUUAGUUGCUUAUGAAUUGAAGCAACCAUUUGUUUUGUGGAGCAACUCUUCAUUGUUCUACUUGCUAUAUUGUGUGGAUGCUUUGUCUUUCAUUGUCUGCUUGCUAUGUCAGUUGUGUCUUAUGCUUGCGGUUUUCAGUGUUGAUUGCUAGAGCUUAUUGGUGAUUAAGGAGGACAACAAUCCAGGGGAUGUUAUCGCCUCAAAAGGACCACGUUUGAAGCUCAAAAUUAGUCCAUUGUAUUUUUCUUUCUUAGCUAUUUUUGUGAAUCUGCAAGCCGACUUGGCAACAUGUGCGGGCAGAUUUUAUAGGAGCAUUUAUUCAACUUUUGAAAGUGAUAGAUAAGUAUGCUUUGAAGCUUUCAUGCAGGUCAAGAACUGUGAUACCGAGUUUACAAGGCUUUUGCAUUUUCAUAUUCUCUUUUAUCUGGAGGCUGUUUCUUUUCCUGGAGUGUUAUGAACUUCGCAUUCUUUAAAUGUUAUAAUUUUGGUCAUCUGAUUCGAGUUACUCUUAACACUACUUUUGGAUUAAAAGAGUGGAAAGCUAAAGAAAGUAAGUGAUUAUAUCUCAUGGGUUGGGUUAGGUCAGAUUCAAGUUGGGUUAAUGUAAUGUAAGGAAUUUAGAUUAAUUUUUCAAGUUCGAGUUUAGCCUGAUUUGAAAAAUAGGUUUAAAAUUUUGCUCAAGUUAAAAAAAAAAAAGUAAAUAUGGAUCUGACUUGGUUUGCUCAUAUUUUAUUUUAUUUUUUUAGAUUAAUUUUUUAUUUAAAAAUAUUUUUUUUGAAAAAAUAAUAUACUAAAUGCACUAAAAAUAAUAAAAUAUAAGUUUUUUAAUACAUUAAAAAUACAUUAAAAAAGCAUUUAUAUUAAAAAUAUUAUCAUAAAUAUAAUAAUUUUUUUAUCAUGUUAAAAAAACAAAUAUAUAUAAUAAAUAUUGCAUUAAAUAUAUAUUUUAAAAUUUUAUAUUUGAGUUGGAUUAUUUUAUUGGGUAAUUUUUUUUUUUGGGUUUUGAAUAGUAAUUUAAUUUUUAUUGGAUUAAUAAUUGAAUAUAAAUAUAUAAUUAUUAUUUUAUAUAAUUAAUUUUUAUAAUAUAAUAUACUUGUGUUGGGUUGGGUUGAGUUAGGCUGAAUAUGACCUUAAAUUUUACUCAGUUUAUUUUUUAGAUAUCAUGUUUUUGUCUUUAAACAUUUUUUAUUUUCAAGCAGGGCUUUGAAUUCAGUUAAGUGAUUUGACUCAUAAACAAGUCUAGUUUAAAUAAAAGAGUAAGGCUGAGUUUGGAUGGACGGUAAGAUGCGUUGUGCUGCGUUUAGCUUAUUUUUUUCUCAUGCUACAGUAUUGUUAUAGUAUCUAAUUUCACCGUUAUCGUUAUUUUUAUACUAACCGUAGGUAAAUGCACCACCCAUUCAAAGCUACUCUAAUUUAAUAUUUUUGUUUAGAUAAAUAAUUGACAGGAAAGGAUUAUAAUUUGUAUAAUUAUAACUUUUCAUAAAUUUAUUUAUGGUAAAUUAUAUUAUAGGUCACCCAAUUAUGCUCAGAUGUUUUUUCUUUUUUGUCAUCAAAGUUUUAAAACUUUUAAAAUUAUCACUCAACUAAUCAGAUUUGUUCUUUUUUUAUCCAUUUUUUGUUGGUGAUAUGAUAAUCCAAUAGUAUAAUAAUAAAUUUAGUUCUUAAUUUUUACAUAUUAUACCAAUUUAAUCAUAGUUUUAAAAAAAUUACCCUCGGCAUUACAAAUUUUCUCAAAUUGCUCUUAAUUCUUAAAAAAUAAAAAAUAAAAAUACACAUAUUUUCAAAAAUAUAAUAAAUUUUAAAAAAUGUAUAAAUUACAUUGUAUUUUAUUUAAAAUAAUAAAUUAAUCUAAAGCCCUAAGAGCAAACCCUUCUUCAUACAGAUGAUGGUGGUGAUGACGAGAAGCCAAAGCUAAAGCACCAUGGAACGAGCGAGGAGUAGAUUUUGCAGGUGGAACUGAAAGCGUGCACCCCGUGAAACAUUAAGGUUUGAAAGUUGGCCCAUAUAGUACCAGUUCCGGUGGCGGCAAUUAUCGCCGGUUCAGCCUGUUGUAAAAGUCAUUCAAUGAAUUACUUUCAUGUUUGGGUAUCUCGUGUCGUAUUUUUUUAUUUAAAUUGUGACUAAAUUAACAUAAUAUGUAAAAAUUAAGAAUUAAAUUUAUUAUUAUACUCAAUUUUGGACUGUCACCUCACCCUUCUGUCAAAUAGUUAAUGUCACUAAUCGAAGAUAGACUAAAAAGAAUAAACUUGAUUAGUCAUGUGAUCAUUUUGAAAGUUUUAAAAAUUGAGUAACCAAAAAAAAUAUUUAUGUAUAGUUUAGUGACCAGCAAUGCAAUUUACCCAAUUAUUUACAAAAGACUAAAAAGACAUUCUACACCUUAAAAUUUUGUUUUACUUUCCUUUUACUAGUUUUCCUCCCCCAAAUUAGAGUAAAUAAAAAUAUUUAAAUUGGGAAAAUAAAGAAAAUAUUUUUAAUUAGUGUAAAAUAAUAUUUGCAAAUUGAAAUGUUGGAUAUAAUUAAAAUAUAUUAACUUGUUUAAUAAUUUAAUCAUUAUAAUAAAAAUUUAAAUAUAAUUAAAGCAUUUUCAUUGUUUAUAAUGUAUAACAAGCCCAAAUAUGCCCAGGCCCAAACCAAUAAACAGGCCCAAUUAACAGCCCAAAACCCAAAUUAACCUAGCCCAAACAUUAAAAUUUCAGAAACCCUAACAGCAUUUGCCCGCAACCGCCGCACAUCCUAACAACAGCCCCGCACAUGUCGCGCACGUUCGCCUCCACGUUGACUGGCCGUACCUGCAGCAACAAGCAAAAGCAAACAACAACAAAAUAAUAGGAAUAACAGAAUAUAUUUGGUUUGAUUUUUUUUUCUUUCUUCUUUCUCAUUUUCGGCUAUAAAAGCCCAAUUCCAGGCAUUUUAAAAGAGGGGGGCAAAUUCAGUGUAAAAGACAUACGAAAAUAGAGAGAAAAGAUUGAAAUACAAGGAAAAUUGAAGGUUAAUCGCGUUUAUUCUAUUUUCAUUUUUACUUAUUUUUUUCUUUUCUUUUUAUUUGUUUUGUGAAAUAAUAGUAUAAAAGGGGAAAAGAGAGACUUACCCAGUGGUCGCGUUCUAUUCUCCGUCUCGACCGGAGGCCAGGACGGUGAUUGAAGCCGUGGGAGGUUCAUGAACGGCGGCUCCAAAGGGUUAGAGAAACCCUAAGAGAAGCAGCACUGCUUUAGAGGAAAAACAAAAUUUUUUCCCUAAUUUUUUUUCUUUUUUUAAAACUUAAAAUAGAACAAAGAUGGCGCCGUUUAGUUUGGGGGUCCGCGCAUAUCAACCUUAAAUGGGAGAAUUGCGCAAUAAGUCUUCCCCCUUUGCGCCAUGUUUUAUUAAGCCAGUUAUUUCUUUUUAAUUUGGCCCAAAUGUUUUACCUUGUUUCAAAUCGGUCCCCAUUGCGGCGCAGCGGUUUAGGGAGCUGGAUUAUUUCGAUUUGGGCCCCCUCAUAUAAUGCGUGUGUUGCAAAUUGGUCCCUGUUCUAUUUUAAUUUCAUUUUUUGGUUAUUUUGUUUUUUCUCAAUUCGUUUUUUUUUAAAUUGUUACUUUUAAAAUUAUUGCUAUAUUAUCUAUUAUCAUUUAUUACUAUUUCUAUAUUUAUACACGCAUUUUUUAUAUAGUAUAUAUAUAUAUACAUAUUUCUUUAUAUAAUAUAUAUAACUUUUAUGAAUGCAUGCAUUUUACAUACGUUUUAUUUUUUAUCUUUUGUAACCUUUAUAUACUUUAUAUAUAUUAUAUAUAUAUACUUAUACAUUUCUUUUAUUUUGUAAAUAUAUACACAUGUACAUACUUUUAUUUUUAUUUAUUUUAUUUUCAUAAUUCUUACAUGUACAUAUAUAUAUAUAUAUUUCUAUAAUAUGUACGUACAUGUUUUUUUUAGAAAUUAUUACAAGUCUUUUGCUUUACAUGUUUCAUUCCUGUUUAUAUGUAUACUAAUAUAUGUGGGUUUAAUAUAUGUGUACACAUAUUUGCAAAUUUACUUGUAAAUUGUAUGUACUUGUAUAUAUAUAUUUUGUAAAUAUUUAUUCAUAUAUGUUUUUAGAGUUUUUGUUUCAUAUUAUGCAUUAACUUUUAACAUGCCUUUUGGGAAAUAUAUUUUGGUUUUAUCAGUAUAUCAAAACCAUUUUCUCUUGAUUCGAAGUUUUUUUUGAAUAAAAGCAAUAUUCAAAGUUUGAGAUUUUCAAGGAAAUUGAGCCCUAACGUAUUGGGUUCCGAUUUUCUUUGUUAAUCUAAAAUAACCGAGAAUAUUCUUUAUUCAAAAUGUAUGAGAAUAAAAAUCAUUUUCGGGAACUUAACUUGUUGUGUCCUAAUGUAUUGGGUGUGACAUGUUACUUUCUCAAAAUGAAGAUUUUCGCAUAAAAUAAAAGUGGUAUUCAAAGUUUGGGGAUGUUGAGAAAUUGUACCCUAAUGUAUUGGGACUCGAUUUCUUUACAUGACUUGAACAAUUGAUUAUCCUUUUCAGAUUUCAUCAUUUGAGUUGUUUUUAAAAAACCUUUUUUAGCCCUCGACACUAAGACAUUAAAUAAUUAAUUUGGUACCAAUUUUGGGUGUUACGAGGGUGCUAACCCUUCCUCGUGCGUAACUGACUCCCGAACCUGUUUUCUCAAAUUUCAUAGACCAAGACACGUUUUAAGGUAAGUUGAUCACGCCUCAAUAAAGGAUCGGUGGCGACUCCAGUUUUAUCUUUAAAGUCGACAACUAAAUUUUUGUUUUCAAAAUGAUGGUUUUGACAGCUUGGCGACUCCGCUGGGGACACUAGAGAGUCGAGCCGUGAAUUGGUUAUGUUUUGUCUUUUUGUCGAAAAUCAAAAGUUUUUUAAAAAUCAUGAUUUCCCUGUGCAUUCAUUUUCAUCAUGAUAUGUUUGCAUGAUUGGACCAAGUUGGUUGAUCUGUAUUUGCUUUUUGCAUAGCAUGGUCAGUUUUACCCCUUUAAGUGGGAGCGAGAAACUAGUCCUUCGUGAGGUUUUCACCUCCGUGCAGGGUAGUGGACCGCUUCCGGGAUACAUUCGUACAUAUGCCUUCGUGAGAUUUUCAUCUCCGUGCAGCCAUAGGGAAAUGUAUUCCCCUGAACUGAACUCGAUCCAUGUGAGCCUAUAAUGGGUAAGGAUCGAGGAAUCUGCUAGUUCGGGUACCUUUGCUCUAGAAGUCAAACCUCAUAUAGUGAACCUUAGGAACUCACCCUAGGUAGAACUACAUUGAACCCUAGUAGAUACCCGAAUAGGUGUUUUAUUAUUUCCAAUUAUAUUGGAUUCUAUUUUUAUACCUAAUACUAACUUGUUAUGUUUUGUUUUGGCUGCAUGACAUUUUGACCGUAUUGCAUUUCAUCAUAGAAAAGAGGUGUUGAUUCACGUUCGGUUGCUAAAUAGAGAGCUUGUCAUGGAAAAUGGAUUUCUUGAUAAAGUGGAAAAUAAUACGGUUCUCCGAAUAUAGUCCAAGAAAGCGUGAUACGAGAAGUGUAACAAGAGGAGUAUACGACUUUGCUGCGUUGAUUCAAGAUUAGCACAUAUUAUUCAAGAGUCGUCAAACAUCCCAACCUUUUUAAAGAAACUAAUGAACGUGAGUGAGCAAGGAGUUACGACCUAGAUCAAACAAAAAGGAGCUCAAAUUCGCGAGAUGCAUCUUAAUAUCUGAAUGGUCGAUGUCUUUGCUUGGAGUACGAGGGCGAAGCCAUAUAUAUAUCUGCUUUGUGUAAAGAGAUUUAUUUUCUAGAGAAGUUUUUCUAGUAAAGAAUUGGACCAGAAUUAACGUCUCUUUUGCAUUCAUUUCACGCUUUUGCAUUACAUUACAUCAUAUGCAUUAAACACAUUAUAGACCUUUAUUCAAUCCUAAUAAGUCAAAAUCACUGCUCAGUUAACCUGGAAACCAACCAACCAACUCGAGCAAAGAUUAAAGACAUGGAUCAGAGAUUGGAAAAGCUCGAAUAGCACCAGAAAGAAAUGCAAGACCAACUCCAGUUACAAGUGCAGGAGCGGUUAGACAAGAUGCAACGGGAUAUGUCAGAGAAGAUGCAGGAAUCCCAAAACAAUAUGAUGACAAAGUUGACCCAACUGUUGACUGGAGGGGGUGAUAAAGGAAAGGGUCCCAUGGCUGAUAUCGAAGAGGGUAACGAGGAUGAAUCACUAUAUCCUCCAGGCUUUACUCCUCCAUAUGUGCGAACUCAAGCUGAAUAUCCGCACAAAUCUACUGUCAUAAUCAGGCCUCAGCAGUUCCAGGCCGGUGCUUCAAACUUCCAGGCUGGAUCGGGCUCUAACCCUGGAAACCACCAUGCUAAUUUCGCCAUUCUUGAAUUUGAUGAAGUGGUUGAAAAAGAAAGAAUAAAGGAAGAGUUACCAAAGCAGUUAGAAGAAAGGUGCAAAUGGCUCGAGGAGAAAUUCAAGGCGAUGGAAGUCACUGAAAGCUAUCGUGAGAUUGAUGCUAAAGAGCUAAGUUUAGUUCCGAAUUUGGUACUCCCUCAUAAGUUCAAGAUGCCAGAAUUCGAAAAGUACAAUGAAACAAGUUGCCCAGAAGCACAUAUCACCAUGUUCUGCAGGAGAAUGGCUGGAUAUGUUAACAAUGACCAGCUAUUGAUUCAUUGUUUCCAGGAUAGCCUCACAGGGGCAGCAUCUAAAUGGUAUAAUCAACUGAGUCGUAUCGUGAUUGGUUCAUGGAGGGAUUUAGCACAAGAAGCCCCAUUCAUUACGCAUAUGUUAAGAAGUGCUACAAAGAGCUUUUCUGACAUAGUUAUGAAUAGUGAAAUGAUCGAAAAUGCUAUAAGGAACAGGAAAAUUGAUGUAGAGGAGAGUAACAAGAGGUCAGUCUCAAGGAGAAGAGAAAAUGAGGUGAAAAACACGGGUUACUCUAAAUCAGUUACUGUGAGUCAGCCAAGAAAGGUGGCUGCUAACCAACAAGGUUCAUCAAGGUAGGAAGCUGGUACAAGACAAAACACUGAGAGGCCGCAAUUCACGCCAAUUUCGGUGUCAUAUAGGGAGCUAUAUCAAAGUUUUUUUGAUGCACAUGUUGUUUCCCCUUUUUAUGUGAAGCCUCUACAACCUCCGUACCCCGAAUGGUAUGAUACGAACGCACAAUGUGCUACCAUAUGGGAAUUACAGGACACUUGAUUGAGAAUUGCACUACCUUCAAGAAACUAGUUGAAAGACUUAUCGACAUGGGUGUUGUCAAGUUUGGUGACUCAUCAAGUCCAGAAAAUCCGUUACCCAAUCAUGAUUGAUGAUGGAGGGAAUGCAAUAUAAGUGGUGAGAAAUUUGCACAUCGAUGUCAUAUAUGCAGACAUAAUUAAAAGGGUCCUUGUUAGAUAUUUGCCUGAGAGGUGUUAUAAAUAAUGGACUGCAGAGGAAACCCCUAUAUUACUUAGAGUCUGAUAAAGUAAUGUUCAGAACACACUUGUUGCUUUUAGCCUAAAAGCAAUAAGAACUUCUUUGUGAAAUAGGCUCAUGUCUGAACAUUAUUAUUUUAAUGAAAUACAUCAUUGCAAUCAUCUUCGAGCAAAUGUUCUUUCAUUCUUUACGAUUCUUUCAUUCUUUUGGAUUUUUUCUGCCAAAUCAUUCUUUCAUUCAUAAUCAUAUUAUCUAUAAAUUCAUAAAUUCUUUGUAUAUUCCUUAGCACCUACAAUAGGUCCCUGGAUAUCAAUGACAUGAGUGACGCUGCUACAGACUCAUAAUCUCCUCUUGAGUGAAACAUGUGUUUAGAGGGAUCUCAUGACUUUGAAGAUGACAUAGAUUGUAGCUUAUCUCCUAACUUGUUGAGGAUGGUAGAGCAAUAAGAAAACAAAUUUACCUCAUGAGGAGACAAUGGAGACUGUGACCUUGAAGAAACAUGUAUGACCGAAGAAACAAAGUAAGACGCUAUUGAGUUACUUCAAGAAUUCAAAAAUGUCUUCGUAUGGUCAUACUAGGAUAUGCCCGGGUUAAGCACUGUCGUUGCAAUCUGAACAACAGCACGAUAUCAGAAAUUUACAGUAUGCUUAAGAUUAAUAUCAUGAAUGAUGCAAUAAAAACUCUACUGGAGCAGUGCCUCUCUCUUUAGUUCAUCACGAUUUUUUCUAUUGAAGUCAAAGUUCUUUUUCUCCGAGUAUUGGCUGAGCAAGUUGGAUGAGCAAAACGGAUUCAAUCGCGAUGUGAUCAAUUGAACUUGAUAGAAGGAAAAAGGCUAAAAGCUAUUCAUCACGGUCAGAUGUACCAGAAAUGAAUGAUGCGAGCCUAUAACAAAUGUUCAUCCCAGAGAAUUCCACGAGGGUGACCAAAUGUUGAACAUCUUCCCUCUACAAUAAAAUUGUUUUGGAGGGAAGCGGAUGCCAAAUUUGGAAGAACCUUAUGUUACAGAGACGAUUUUUCCAAAGGAGCUUUGAUUUUGAGCGAGAUGGAUGAUAAGUCCUGUAAACUCAGAUUCAGUCAGGAAAUACUCCGCUUAAAGAAGGAGAUGACUAAGGUAGAAAACCCGCAAAGGGGCACUUUGAGUCGUAAAAAUGAUGAAAUGAAAAAAUGAAAAAGUGAAAAUGAGAAAUGGAAAAUGGAAAAAGAAAAGAAAAUGAGAGACCAAGGCGAAAACCCGCAAAGGGCGCUUUAGACCAAAGGGGAUUUGAGUUGAAAACUCGAAAAGAACGGCUCAAAUAUUGAUCAAAAUGGGGCAUGAGGUAAUCAAAGCAGCUCAAAUACCAUUCAGAGUGGGGCAUACAAUGGUCUUGCUAUACCUGAAUCAACAGGAAAGGGCAGGCGACAUCUUGGGGCAUCGACAAAGUACUAUAGAUCUCCUAAACACAUGUUAAACUCAGAAUGGUCUUCAGAAAGUCUGUACAGAGAAGUUCAAGUUGCGAUAUCUAGGGCACCUAAUCCUUAUACCAUUUUUGUUAUUCUUGGAACACUUCAUUCAUUGACAAGAUACGCAUUCCUAAAUCAAUUUCUUGUUAUCCAUCUUUAUUAUCUUUGAUAAUCUAUUCAUUUCAGAGCCAUGCUCUAAAUCAAUUCUAUUCUUACCCAUUGUUAUGAUCUCUUGCAAGCAUGUUGCAUUUGAAUAAUGAUGAAUGGACUAAUAAAACUUUCACAAAGGAAGUUUUGCAUAUUACUCUAGAAGUUUCUAAAUAAUAUAGGAACCUCAAAUAGGACUAUUGUUUAGAACGCACCAGGUUAAAGGUUGGAAAUCUAAUAAGGAAGAGUCUAAAUUAAGACUAUCCCUUUGAAUUUUGUUGUCUAAAUCAUUGAUUGAAAAACGACAAGAUGUCGUGUUGGUGAUAAAGCUUAAAUGAACAAGCAAGUAAUGAUCACCGAAUAAUAAGAAGAAGUUGUUCUUGGAGAAGAAUAUUCUUCAUUUGUGCAUGAGCAUUUGGUAUGACUCCCUAGAAAUGGUGAAAAUGACAAAAGAGCUUCACAUUCUACAUCCUUGAAUUGUGAUAGUGAAAGAUUGAGAAAAGGCCAGAUUUUUUUUUUACUCUUGAGUUACCACGAGAGAAAGAUGAUACAGAUUUUGUGUUCCAAUGGAUUGAAAUUUGAAGUUCACAGUGGAGGGCAAUUUGAUUAAGUGUUUUUCGGAGAUGCUAGCUGAGCAAAAAGGUGUUAUAGCACAUUAGUGAGGAAACCUUAAUAAACUUUGAGUAAUAAUAACUCAAGCAUUAAAAUAUUAUUUUCAUGACAUUUUGCAUUCAUUUAAAUGACAUUCAUACACGUCUAGUUAGAAGCAUUUGAUUCAUUCUAAUCAUGACAUCCUUAAUCUCUAGGCAUAAUCAGGUUCAUCAUACAGGUCAUGUUUCACAGAAAACAUAUCAGUAAAAUCAUAAAGCCUUAUCCCCCUGAGCAACAGUGGAGCUGGCUAAAAAUCAGCAGAUCUUGUCUUCAUGUAUUGGCGUGAAGUAGAUCAAAGAUAGCAGAUCUUGUCUUCCCAUACUGGUGGUGAAGUAGAUCAAAGAUAAUGGAUCUUAUCUUCAUGUAUUGACAUGAAGUAGAUCAGAGAUAGCAGAUCUUGUCUUCAUGUAUUGAUAUGAAGUAGAUCAGAGAUAGCAGAUCUUAUAUUCAUGUAUUGACAUGAAGUAGAUCGAAGAUGAUGGAUUUUGUCUUCAUGUAUUGACAUGGAGUAGAUCAGAGAUAGCAGAUAUUAUCUUCCCAUACUGGUGGUGAAGUAGAUUGAAGGUAAUGGAUCUUGUCUUCAUGUAUUGACAUGGAGUAGAUCAGAGAUAGCAGAUCUUGUCUUCAUGUAUUGACAUGAAGUAGAUCAGAGAUAGCAUAUCUUAUCUUCAUGUAUUAACAUGAAGUAGAUCGAAGAUAAUGGAUCUUGUCUUCAUGUAUUGACAUGAAGUAGAUCAGAGAUAGCAGAUCUUGUCUUCAUGUACUGGCGUGAAGUAGAUCGAAGAAAGCAGAUCUUGUCUUCAUGUACUGGCGUGAAGUAGAUCGAAGAAAGCAAAUCUUGUCUUCCUGUACUGGUAGUGAAGUAGAUCAAAGAUAACAGAUCUUGUCUUCCCAUACUGGUAGCGAAGUAGAUCGAAGAAAGCAGAUAUUGUCUUCAUGUAUUGGCGUGAAGUAGAUCGAAGAUAGCAGAUCUUGUCUUCCCAUACUGGUGGCGAAGUAGAUCGAAAUACCAGUCUUAUCUCCUUGAAGUUGCAGUGGAGCAGACAGAAGAAACCAAUCCUAUCUCCUUGAAGUUGCAAUGGAGUAGAUUAAAACCACAGAUUUCAUCUCUUUGGAGUUGUAGCAGAGCAGAUCGCAUCAGAUUUAUUUUUAAGUUGUAGCAUAACAAGUUGAAGCUAUAAGUCUUAUCUCCCUGAAGUUGCAGUGGAGCAGAUUAAAGAUAGCAAAUUUUGAAGCUACAGCAUACGAAUCCUAUAUCCCUGACAUUCCAGUGGAGUAGAUCGAAACGCUAGUUCCUGUACCUCUGAAGAUACAGUAGGAAGGAAUGAGGCUACUAGAAGAAAGGCACUGAAUAAGUUGAGGCUCAGUAAGACCAGACACAAUUGGGCUUUUGGUUUUUGCUCUAUUCUCGUUACACGACAAUGAGCAAAGAGGGGCAGCUGUACAAGCCCAAAUAUGCCCUGGCCCAAACCAAUAAACAGGCCCAAUUAAUAGCCCAAAACCGAAAUUAACCUAGCCCAAACAUUAAAAUUUCAGAAACCCUAACAGCAUUUGCACGCAGCCACUGCACAUCCUAACAACAGCCCCGCACAUGUCGCACACGUUCGCCUCCAUGUUGACUGGUCGUACCUGCAGCAACAAUCAGAAACAAACAGCAAAUUUUCCCGCAGCCGCCGCACAUCCUAACAGCAGCCCCGCACAUGUCGUGCACAUUCGCCUCCACGUUGACUGGCCGUACCUACAGGAACAAGCAGAAACAAACAGCAACGAAAUAAUAGGAAUAACAUAAUAGAUUUGGUUUGAUUUUUUCUUUCUUAUUUCCCAUUUUCAGCUAUAAAAGCUCAAUUCCAGGCAUUGUAAAAGAGGGGGGAAAUUCAGUGUAAAAGAUAUAUGAAAAUAAAGAGAAAAGAUUGAAAUACAAGGAAAAUUGAAGGUUAAUCGCGUUUGUUCUACUUUCAUUUUUACUUAUUUUUUUCCUUUUCUUUUUAUUUGUUUUGUGAAAUAAUAGUAUAAAAGUGGAAAAGAGAGACUUACCCGGUGGUCGCGUUCUAUUCUCCGUCUCGAUCGGAGGCCAGGACAACGAUUGAAGCCGUGGGAGGUUCAUGAACGGCGGCUCCAAAGGGUUAGAGAAACCCUAAGAGAAGCAGCACUGCUUCAGAGGAAAAACAAAUUUUUUCCCUAAUUUUUUUCUUUUUUUAAAACUUAAAAUAGAACAAAGAUGGCGUCGUUUAGUUUGGGGGUUCGCGCAUAUAAACUUUAAAUGGGAGAAUUGCGCAAUAAGUCCUCCCCAUUUGCGCCAUGUUUUAUGAAGCUAGUUAUUUCUUUUUAAUUUGGCCCAAAUGUUUUACCUUGUUUCAAAUCGGUCCCCAUUGCGGCGCAGCGUUUUAGGGAGUCGGAUUAUUUCCAUUUGGCCCCCCUCAUAUAAUGCGUGCGUUGCAAAUUGGUCUCUGUUCUAUUAUCAUUUUUUUUAAAUUGUUAUUUUUAAAAUUAUUACUAUAUUAUCUAUUAUCAUUUAUUACUAUUUCUAUAUUUAUACACGCAUUUUUUAUAUAGUAUAUAUAUAUAUACAUAUUUCUUUAUAUAAUAUAUAUAACUUUUAUGAAUGCAUGCAUUUUACAUACGUUUUAUUUUUUAUCUUUAUCUUUUUUAACCUUUAUAUACUUUAUAUAUAUAUUAUAUAUAUUUUUAUACAUUUCUUUUAUUUUGUAAAUAUAUACACAUGUACAUACAUUUUCAUAAUUCUUACAUGUACAUAUAUAUAUUUCUAUAAUAUGUACGUACAUGUUUUUUUUUAGAAAUUAUUACAAGUCUUUUGCUUUACAUGUUUCAUUCCUUUUUAUAUGUAUACUAAUAUAUGUGGGUUUAAUAUAUGUGUACACAUAUUUGCAAAUUUACUUGUAAAUUGUAUGUACUUGUAUAUAUAUAUUUUGUAAAUAUUUAUUCAUAUAUGUUUUUAGAGUUUUUGUUUCAUAUUAUACAUUAACUUUUAACAUGCAUUUUGGGAAAUAUAUUUUGGUUUUAUCAGUAUAUCAAAAUCAUUUUCUCUUGAUUCGAAGUUUUUUUUGAAUAAAAGCAAUAUUCAAAGUUUGAGAUUUUCGAGGAAAUUGAGUCCUAACGUACUGGGUUCCGAUUUUCUUUGUUAAUCUAAAAUAACCGAGAAUAUUCUUUAUUCAAACUGCAUGAGAAUAAAAAUCAUUUUAGGGAACUUAACUUGUUGUGUCCUAAUGUAUUGGCUGUGACAUGUUACUUUCUCAAAAUGAAGAUUUUCGCUUAAAAUAAAAGUGGUAUUCAAAGUUUGGGGAUUUUGAGAAAUUGUAUCCUAACGUAUUGAGACUCGAUUUCUUUACAUGACUUGAACAAUUGGUUAUCCUUUUCAGAUUUCAUCAUUUGAGUUGUUUUUAAAAAACCUUUUUUAGCCCUUGACACUAAGACAUUAAAUAAUCAAUUUGGUACCGAUUUUGGUCAUUACGAGGGUGCUAACCCUUCCUCGUGCGUAACUGACUCCCGAACCCAUUUUUUCAAAUUUCGUAGACCAAGACACGUUUUAAGGUGAGCUGAUCACACCUCAAUAAAGGAUCGGUGGCGACUCCAGUUUUAUCUUUAAAGUCGACAACUAAAUUUUUGUUUUCAAAAAGAUGGUUUCGACAUAUAAUACAGUUUUAUUUCAUAAUAAUUAAUGCAAGACAAUAUUACUUAAAAUAAUAAUUAAUUAAUAUAAUUAUAUUAUAGGGAUAAAUUUUAAAAUUAUACAUGAACUUUAAUUCAAUGUGCAGUUUGAUACAUGAAUUUCGAUUUGGUGCAAUUAUACGCAUAAAACUUUGAUUUUGAUUCAAUUACAAACAUUUUAAAAAAUAACUACACCAAUUUAUUUCUAUAUUGGAUAAAUAUAAUUAUAUGUAUAUGCAAUAUAUAAACAUAAAAUGAUGCUAUAUAAAAUUGCACAUUAAACCAAAGUCCAUGUAUAGUUUUAAAAUUUAUGUCUUGUAAUAUAUUAGAUUUAUUGUUUAUAAAAUUUUAUUGUAUAAAUAAUUAAAAUUUGCUAUUUAAAAAAAUAAUAUAUAUAUUUUUCUUUUUCUAUUUUUUUAUUAAUAAUGAAAACAUAAUACUUUAAAUGUAAAGUAAAAUUUUUAAUCCAAUAAACAUAAAGUAAUUUAAUUCACCAUCUAUUAUUGCUCAAAAAAUUAGUAUUUAUUUAAUAAAAAUAUUUUUAAUAGAAUCAAAAAAAUUUAAUCCAUAGAGGUUUUCCUCGACUCAGGUUGCCCAUUUAUAAUUUAACUGCAAUUAAUUUGCAUCUUCUGCCAGUCAUAAUGCUAAAUAUGUAUGGGAGAAUCCGAAUUUUAAAAUUUUAAAAUAUUUUUAAUCUUUGGACUAUUUAAAUUUGAAAUUUAGGUGUUUCGAAUUAUUUUAGGGUUUGAUUACUUGUAAAUUUAAAUAAUUUUUUAUUACUUAUUUAAAUAGAUUUAAAUUUAUUGGAGUUAUUUUAUUUCCUUUCAUUUUUCAAAGAAAAUUAUUUUUAUCUACUUUUUUUUUUCUUUUCUAACCUAAACACGUUACCAAAGAAAUUUAUAUAUAUAUAUAUAUAUAUAUNNNNNNNNNNNNNNNNNNNNNNNNNNNNNNNNNNNNNNNNNNNNNNNNNNNNNNNNNNNNNNNNNNNNNNNNNNNNNNNNNNNNNNNNNNNNNNNNNNNNUUACUUGUAGUGGUAGUGGUAGUGGCGUAUCAUAUUUAGGGGGUUGACAGGUUCCGGUCCCCUUAAAAUAAAAAAUUAUUUAUUUAAAAAUUUAAAAAUUUUAAAUUAAUAAAGGUAAAAUUAUACUUUAAUUCUCUAAAAAUGAUAAAAAUUUAAUUUAAGCCUUUAAAAAUGAUAAAGAUAUAACUAUUAAAAAACAAUUUAAGUUCAGAUCCCCUUAAAAAGGAAUUUCUGAUUUCGACCUUGUUUACUGGUUAAAUAUUCACUUAUUUCAAGAAAAAUUGGAGUUAAAUGAUGGUUAGAGAGAGUAUGAGAGUGGUAUAUGGCAUUGAGGGUAGUGACUCUUCAACACUGCAAACUGAACCAACCUUUUUGAGCCAAAGCUUCACAAAAGAAGUCUUCAACUAUCAUUUCAAUGUCUUCAACCAUCACUUUUCACUUCAUCUGCCCACAAUUACCCGCUAAUCCUUCACUCAACGAUACGCACAUUCGCUAUUUGGAACCUUUAACUUUUCCCUAAAACCAUUUUUUAGGGUUAAUUUAUUAUUUACACCUUAAAUUGCACUCAGUUAUCAUUUUUUUAUUAGUUUGUCAUACCAUUGGUUUGUAUUAUUUUCUUUUGACUAAAUUAAAAAAAUCAGAAAAAAUAGCUAAAAAAAACUCCAUUUUUUUAAAUAAGAAAAAUAUAUAAAAUUCUCAUAAAUUAAAAAGAUUUUUUAUUUUUAUUUUUAAAAAAACAUAAAAUAUAAAAAGAGCGAAAAUACAAAAAAAAAUGUCAAACAAUUUUAGAAAAAUCUCAAAAAAAUAUAUCUAAAAAUCAGAAAAAAUACGAUAAUUAUAAAAAAUUUCUAGAAAUUAAAAAAUAAAAUUUUAUUUUUAAAAAAUACAUAUAGUUCAAAAACAAGAGCGAAGAUACCAAAAGAAAUCUCAAUUUUAUUUAAAAUAUCAUAAAAAGGGAAAAUUUUAAAAGGACUUGAGAACCAGCUGGUACGUUAUCCAAAUUUUGAUAUGUAUAUAAAUUUGUUGUGAUCUGAAUUUUGGCAUAAUGAUUUUUUUGUCCUCCAAUUUUAUAAAAAAAUUAUCUUAAUUUUCUAUUUAGUUCUUUUAGUCUUUAAACUUGUAUUUUUAUCAAAUAAUCUCAAAAUAGAUGAAAAAAUUAAUGUUUGUUAACUUUACUGACGUGACAUACACGUAGACUGCCACAUGGAUGAUAUAUUAGUAUUUAAUUAAUUUUUUAAAUUUAAAAAUGUUAAUUUUUUUCUAUAGUUUUAUACUUUUUAAUAAUUUAAAUAAUUUUUAAAUUUUAAAAAUAAAUUUUUUAUAAUUUUUAAUUUAAAAAAUUAAUUAAAUAUUGACAUGGCACUCUACAUGCAUGUCAUAUUAAUAAAGUUAACAAAUAUUAAAUUUUUCAUUCAUUUUAAGGUGACUUGACAAAAAAAUAUAAAUUUAAGAGCUAAAAAAAUGAAAAGUUAAAUAGAAAAUUAAAAUAAAUUUUUUAAAGAGUAAAGGGCAAACAAAUCUAUGCACCUUGAAUUUUUUUAGGAAUGCUAAGACUGCCAACUAGUUUUCUGGGCCAAUGUUGGGUGUAUAAAAUACUGUUGGCUUGAGCCUUGCAUCAUAUUCUGAUGGUAAACCUCUACUUGAACUGCCAUUUUUCUCCUUGUAAAAUUAAAUUACAUUUAUUCAUGCAUGUGAUAGCCAAUAAAGUAUUUUUGGAUCUCCACCCGGAAUUUAGUAUGCCUAAAUUUGUGUGAAGAAUAGCGCAAACAAUUAAAGAUAGAAGUAAAUAACAAGUAACCAAAAUCAAAGCUAUGGAGAUUAGUAAGUCAAUGAACAGCUCUUCUUGAUGAGUGCCACUUCUAGAAAACAACUAUUUUUUGUUUGCCAAAGAAAGUAGCAUAUGCUGAUGGAUAUACUUAAACAAAGAUUGCAUUAAUGCACCUAGGAACAAGUGUCAUAUAAUUUUGUAAGGAGGUUAGGGAAUCCAAGCUUUACCUAAAGAAAGAGCACAAUAUUUUAUAAACGGUCCGAUCUCCACCAAAUCUAAUUUUGUUUUUUGUUUUUUAAAUAUACUUUAUAUCUUUCUAAAGUUUAUCAAACAACUAUUUGCUUUGGCCAAUUUUGGAGCAAUAAGAUUAGUUUUUCCAUUAUCGUAAUUCCUAAUAUAUUACCGAAAAAUUAAGUAAGUACUAUAAUCCCCAUUUUAAUGUGUAAAAAGGAGAUUCAAAAUAAAAUUUUUUAGCAAUAGUCAGAGAGGGAGAGAAUUACCGCUGGGAAAGAAUGUAGUUAGUAGUAGAUGGGAGCUGGGUGGACGACACGCAUAGGAGAUCAUCUUAGAUUUAACCUAACUUAAUAGGUAUAUAUAUUAGGGGUAAUUUUGUAAAUAUAGUGGGAUGAGACGAGAUAAGUUUACUCUGUAACACUUUAUACCCGACUUUAUUUACCGGAUCCAAAUAUAGGAUGUCACGAUACUUACAUACUUAAUAAAAUUAUACAACUAGCGAAAAUUAUAUUGGAUGUACUUAUUAUUAUUUUUUAAAAUCUUUUCCAAGUCAAAAAGAUUUGAAUGAAACGUUUAUUAUUUAUAACAGUCUCUUAAAAGCAGUACAAAACAUUACAACUUAAAUAUUUGAUAAGACAUGCAUAUUCGUGGUGUAUAAUACUAUUCGCCAUUUGAAAACAUAUUCCUCAAAGUAUCCCUUUGUAUGCAUAAUAUCGCACUAUGAUCAACCACCUUAGCGCAUUCCUGACUUGGUCCCUUCUGGUAAACUGGUUCAACUCAAGAACCUGCAUUACAAAUAAACACUCAUAAGUUUAAUGGAACUUAAUGAGUCUCAACCAGUUUUACCUUUUAACACCACUGAAGAAAUCAUCAACUUUAAGAUCUUGGAUUUCCUUUCAGACCUUGGCUGAAACUUUUCUGAUUUUUAGUUGGCAGAUAACUAUACGCCAAUCUCUACACUUGAACACCUUAUAGAUAGUUCAAUUGACUGGAGGAUCACAGACUUCACACCAUAGUUCGAAUCUAUUACACAAUCUUUUUGAAGAUAGUUGUUGGAUAUAAACUCCUCAUAAUGAUAUUUAUAUGGAUACUACUCCUAACUGAUUCUCCUACUAACUUUGGCAACUAUCAAAACGCCGUUCACACCGAAUCUUCAAAUUAAUCCAGACAAAUGUACUUACUCGGAUGAAUGUAUUAUUUUAGACCAUCCCAUAGAAUUCCAAAUAACUUUGAUACAUAACAUGAAAAUAUCCUGGUUCAAUGAACUUUUACCCCACUGUACCUCCGGAUACACCAAAUUCUCCUUCCUGGUGAAUUACUAAGGGAGAUUCCUCGGUCAAAUACACUACUGAGAAUUCAUUUAGAAAAUUAUUCAAAUGCAUACCCAGAUUUCACUGCAAUGGCGGUCUAACCACUUGCCACUUAGGCGUUACAGAAUUCGUUAUACAUGUUUUUCAUACAAUACACCACAAAGACUUUUUAGAUAAUUCGCCACAAAGGCUUUACAGAUAACUCACCACAAAGGCUUUUCAGAUAAUUCGCCAUAAAGGCUUUACAGAUAACUUACCACAAAGGCUUUUCAGAUAAUUCGCCACAAAGGUUUGCCACCAAGGUACCACAUAAACUUUUGUGCUUGACGAUAUAGAUUUGCUUAAACUUAGCAUCACCUGAAGUUUGCCCAUCAUUACCCCCGGGAUACGCAAAAACCCCAGUAAACAAAUGCGGCUCAUUUGUCAUUCCCAAAAUGUGUCAUGGCCAUGGUCUUUUCAGAUAUCUGCCAUAUUGACAUUUUCUUGUUUUUACUGUCCCUACAGACCUUGUGUUUAUGGUCCUGAUAGACUACAUUUCUCCACACUGACCUUCAUGUUUAAUGUCCUAGUAGACGUUAUCAAAACACCACUGCGAGGUUCGUUAUCAUAUCACAUACUAUUCCGACACUCCACCAAAGCCCAUUAUCGCCAACCAUACUGGUCAUGCAUCACUCAAAUAACAUAAUGAACACAUUUACACAGAUUUCGCUCAUAUUCUCAACAAAAUCAUAUCUUUUAACACAUAAUUUCUCAUUCAUGCUUACCAUACAUUGUCAUAUUCAUGGAGUGCAUCAUACACUUCAGUACAUGCAUACAAGUGUUUCACAAAAAAUAUACAAAAUACAUGCAUACUACAACUCCUGAAGAAGAUAUGCUUAUCUAUAUAGAUGCCAAUCAUGCAAAGAAUCAUUGUAAUAUAACGUGUAGGUGACAUGCCUAGUGACUCACCUUUACUUCAGUCUAAAGCUUCUAUUUCAAUCAUCUGUCCCAAUCCAAUAGCAACAAUUACUUUUAAAAUCAUGGAAUUUCCAUUAGAAUCUCUAUUUACAAAUAGUUUACUAAUGUUUCAACUACAUACGACCCCAAGUAUUGCCUUCCACUCUCACCCUACUGUUCUUACAUUCUUAUUCCUCAACAUUCGUAACAUAUAGAACUAUAAGAAUUAUCAGAAGGUCGAAUCAUCCACUGAUUAAAUGAAAUCUUAGCUCUACCUUAAUGAAGAAGAAGAAGAAUAAAACAUUUAGGUUUGAAGGAAGAACUAGAACGUUGGGCAAAAAGAAAAGCCAUGUAGUAUGACAUCCUUAAUUACCUUAUUAAAUAGGGAUAUAGUGACCCCUUUAAAUAGGUUAAGAUUAGAGUUCUAAUCAUACUAAAAUAGCCCUAGAGUAUUUAGAGUUUGACUAGAAAAAGAUAGCAGAGUUUAAUAGGAGAAGAAAAGUGUUUGUGGGAAACACGUUGCAAUGUCCUUAUUUGUGUCAUUACAAUGUCGUCCGUCAUUGCAAUGUCUAAAAGCUUCUCCUUGUGACGUUGUCUGCUAACUUUGGUAAGUUCCUGCAAACUAUCCAAUAAAUGCAAGGCACACCCUACAAAUCUUCACAUUGACUCGUAUUUACCACACCUUAUUAUCCGGGCCCUGUCAAGGGCUGAACCUGAUCUUUGCAGAAUGUCAACCAAGCCCAAAUCGUUCUCAAACUUGGAAACCAAAAGACUCAUAAUCUUUAAAUCAAGGUUGUAUAAUGCAACAAGUGUUAGUGAUACACGAACUGACAUCUGCUUCACAAUAAGAGAGAAAAAAUUAAGGAAAUCAACUCCCUUCACUUGAUUGUCACCCUUUUGCGACCAACCUUGCUUUAAACACUCUGCUUUAUCCAACUCUGCUACAAUCUAAAAUCAGUGAUUCCAUCAAACUUCUCAAUAUCAAAAUUCAUUAUUGCCAUCGCUGAAUGGGUCAAUUACAAAAAUGUAGCUUUGUUCUUAUACCAAUUUAUUAGGGAUCGACCCUGUAAGACCCAAUUUUUACUCGGCCUCGCAUACACAAAAUAAACAAAUAAAAAUGAUAAAAAUGGCAGUCCAAUAGUGGCCCAAACAUUAACCCAACCCUAGCUCAUAACAUAAACAGAUCACAAAAAAACCCUAGCCUUUUUCAGCAACCGUCGCCGCCCCAGCCACGCGUCUCCUCCACGUCACCACCAUAUGACCUCUGUACCUGCAAGAAAUAGUAACACGACAACAAAAAAAAGAAAAAGAAAAAAGUUGUAAUUUUUAGGCUAUAAAGCUCUAAAAAAUAGUGUUAUAGUUUUUUACGGAGAUUCAAUACAAAAAUAAAAAAAAUUCAAAAAAACAGAAAGAGAUUCAAAGGUAGUUUAUUUUCUUCUUCGUUAAUCUUAUUUUUGUUUACGUUUGUUUUUUUAGAAAUAAACACAAAGUACAAAAAAGAGAUUGAACCUUACCCUUUUUUUGGUGCUUGCACCGCCAUGGGAGGUCGAGGUUCAUCGUUUUCGAUAAAAAACGACAUUUUUAGACCAAGGGAGUUGAAAGUCCCCAAAAAAUGCCCUUUUUUCGGUUUUUCGGCCACCGCAGAUGGCGGCGCUAUUGUCGGUGACUGGCGGUUGCCACGGUGGUCCGACACCAAAGCCAUGGCCGGAUUUUUGAAAGAAGGGGGGUUUGAGAGUGUUUUUUGACUUGUUUUUAAAAGAAAAGAGGAGAAAUAAAAGUUUUUAAAUUUUUUUUUGGUUUUAUAGAAGGUUGAAACGGCGUCGUUUUGAGCCUUAAUUCCAGUGGCCAAAACGACACCGUUUUGGCCUUAGCUCCCCUCAACCCGCGCGUCGACCCGAUCCAGGGGGAGGAUCCACGUGUUUUGCUUCAACAGGAUAUUUACGCGUGUGAUCCCUCCGCUUUUGCGAUGGUUUGCAAUUUGGUCAUUUUUCUUUCUUUUCUUUUUCUUUUAAUUUUGCCUCGCAUUUUAUUUUCAUUUCAAUUCGGUCUGUGUCAAGACGCUCGUUUUGGGAGGAUGAGGAGUAUUUCCCAAUUAGUCCCCCAUGUUAUUCGCGUGUUGCAUAUUUGCCCUUCAAUUUUAUUUUAUUUUAUUAUUUUCUUUCUGAUUUUGUUUUAAAUUCAAUUUAAUCCCUACUUACCCAAUCACAUUAUUUAAGCUUUAUUUAUUAAUUUAUUUAGCUAUUUGUUAUCCUAUAAUUUUUAUUGAGUUCUAAAUAUUAAAUAUUGUUUUUCAUAUUUUUUAUAUACAUAUUAUUUAGUUUAAACCAUUUAUUUUAUAUGUUAUUUUAAAAUUAGUUUAUUUUUGAUUUAUUUUAUUUAAAAAUUUCUCUUAUAUAUAUAUAUAUAUAUUAUAUUAAACUUGUAUAUGAUUAUUUUAACUUGCUUUAUAGAUUAUUUACAUUAAGUUGCUUUAUAUAUUAUUUUAUUUUAAGCUAUUUUAUAUAUUACUUAUUUUAAAAUUAACCUAUACUAUUUGCUUUAAAUUGAUUUAUAUUAACUAUUUAAAACAUGUCUACAUAUAUUGUUUACUUAGUUUUAUCACUUAUUUUAAUUGUUCUGCGUGUCUAUUUUUAAACUUUAUUUUAUUAUAUACUUAGUUUAUUUCAACUCUUUUUAUAUAUAAUUAUUCUUUAUAUUAAGUUUUUCAUCCCAUAUGUAUUACUUAUUUAAAUUAAUAUAUGUAUAUUAUUUUAUGUAUUUGAUUUUCUUAUAUGAUAUUUAUUUUAAAAUUUAUUUGGAUACUAUUAUUUUAUGUAGUAUUUAUUUUUAACCAUAUUUUUAAUUUAUUUCAAAUUUUCAUAUAUAUAUUAUUUAUUUUAAAUUUAUUUUAAUAUAUAAUUUCCCUUCCUUCAUGUUAUUUGUUUUUUUUUUAAAAACUUGUUGCAUUUUUUUGUAUUAAUUUGCUUGGAGCUUCGUUUAAGAUUAGUUUUUGGUUCAUUAGCUUUUGAAUAUUAAAGUUAUUAUUUGUAUAUGAUGUGAGAUAAUUGCUCUUACGUGUAUUGCAUUACUUAUCCUUAUUUAUUGAUUACUUAUCAUUCAUUAGCAUAUAAUUGUUUAAUAUUUAGCACAUCGCAUUGUACAUAGUUAUUCCAUUGCGCUUUAUUCGCUCAAAAAGUUGCGUUUAAUAUGGUUUAAGUUUCAAAAUCAUUUUAUUCAAAAGCUUUCAAGAUAAUGCAAUACUUUGUAUUUGAGAUCUUCGAGAGGAUUGAGCCCUAACGUAUUGGGUUCCAAUUUUCCUCGUUGAAUCUAAAUAAUCGAGAAUAUUCUUUAAUCAAAACACAUAAAUAAAAAGCUCAUUCUCGGGAAUUCGAUACGUUGUGUCCUAACGCAUUGGAUAUGACAUGUUGUUUUCUUGAGAUGAGGAUUUUUUCUAAAAAAUAAUAAAUGCAUUAUUCAAUGUCUGGAAUUUUGAGAAAUUGUGCCCUAACGUAUUGGGCUUCGAUUUCUUCAUCUGACUUAAACAAUUGAAUAUCCUUUUAAAUUUCAUUGCAUGAGUUUUAAAAAUCAAAAGAUCAACUCAUUUUCGAGGAUGAGAAACACCACAUCCUAUUGGAUGUGACAUUCUAUCUCCCGAAAUAAGGGGGUCUUAGCACGCAUUUUGAUUUAUACAAGUUUUUUUUAAAAGAUCAUAUUUUUAAUCUUUUUGAGUUUUCGAUAUUCAGCAUUAAGACAUUAAUUAAUCAACUAGGUACCAAUUUUGGGCGUAUCGAGUGUGCUAAUCCUUCCUCGUGCGUAACCGGCUCCCGAACCCGUUUUCUGGAUUUUGUAGACAAAAAAUUAUCGUUUUAGUAAAUUUAAACUUUUAUUAAAAUGAUUAAAUUAGGAGGUGAUCCGACCACACCUAAAUAAAAAAGAUCGGUGGCGACUCCAAUUUUCAUUUUUUAAGUCGACGCUAUAUUUUUUGUUUCCAAAAAAGUGGUUUCGACAGACCUGUAUAAACAACGAACACAAAAAGUGAAAAAUAUUAAACACACAAAUUUUACGUAAAAAACUCCUCCAAAGAGGAUUAAAAACCAUAGGCAAAUGAGGCUUCAGUUUUUCAUGAAAUGAGUAAACCACGUAGAAACCCAAACAUCGAAAAUCAAGCCUUAACUCCCAUAGAGUUCUCUCAAAAGGGGUACAAAAAUUCUCUACAUAGUUACCACAAAAACUCUCACCAAAAGCCAUCUGCGACUACAUCUUGUUGCCCCCCAAAAAAAACCUUGUAGUACUACAUCAUUAAUUGCCUUCUUAAUUUCCUUCGCCUCUGAGCUCUCUUAAGCGGCGCAUGCAGCUACAUCUUAAUUGGCACAUCAAAUUAGGGUUACAUUGGCCCUUUAAAUAAGCUCAAAACUAAAGGAAAAAUGUCUAAAAUAACCUUGAAGUAAUUAGAGUUUGAUUGGAAGAAGAAGUCCUACUUGGAGUAAAAAAACAUGGCUGCUUACGUGGAGAAUACGUUGUAUCGUCGUGACGUCCCAUGCAUGCUUGUCACGCUGUUGUCACUGAAUUAAGUUCGAAGUUUGUCCCAGCGUCAUGACGUUCACACUUCUCUCGUUGUGACGUCGUUCCUCUUCAUGAUGUCGAUGUUCUCCUCGUCGUGAUGUUAUGCUUGCUUUGGCUCUUUCUAGGUCAAUCAUCGACUGUCUUCCUAAGUACUUGCAAAGUGUCCAGUAAAUACAAGGCACACUCUACAAUUUCAAUUGUAAAUGUUUGAUUCUACACUUUGUUCUAGUUCUUUAUUUGUGCUAUAAUGGUUUAAUUCUACACUUUGUGAUUGCUCUAACGUAUAAUUAUAUAUAAUUUGAUUGAAUUUGUAAGCUUUAAAAAAAAUCUUCUCAUUUACUCCCAUUUCCAUGUGUAGAUUCCCUUCAUGCAUAAUUGCGCUCUAUUUAUAGCUAACAUUUUUACAAUUAAAAUUAUAAAAAAUAUAGAUUCAAUGUCUCAAAAUUAAAAUAAAAGAAUUAAAAUUUUAAAAAGUAUAAAGGACCUCUAAUAUAUUUUUGGUUCAAUCAAAACUUAUUUUACAUAAUAAUUUGGGAUAGAUCUCAAAAUUAUACAUAAAUUCGAUUCAAUGUGCAAUUUGAUAAUGAACUUUGAUUUAGUUGUGAUUCAAUUGUAUAUAUGAAACUUCAAAUUUGAUUCAAUCAUACACAUUUAAAGAAAUAAACACAUCAAUUUAUUUAUAUACUGGAUAUAGAAACAUAAAAGGCUGAAUUAUUGAUAUAAGCUGAAUUAUUGAUAUUUGAAAUAUCAUACCCACAAUGUAGAUGAAAAAACAAUGAUAUUUGAAAUUAUUAUUUGAUUUUAUAAUAUUAGAAAUCACCAUACCCCCACAAUAUAGGUGGAGAAAAUAAAAAUUUGACAUAUAAAUAUUAUAUAUUAAAAUAUAUAUAUCUAAAUAAUUAGUUAAUGUUUUUAAAAAAUAAUUACAUAUUUAUUAGUUAAUUUUAUAGAUAAAAAAGAUAUGAAUUAAAAAUAAAAAACUUAAAAAAUAUAUUUAUUAAUUAUAAACAUUAAUUAAAAAUAAUAAAAAAGCUUGAAACAAUAUGAAAUAAAAAAAUACAUAUUAAAAUGCUUAUAAGAGGAAUCGAACUUUAGAUUCAAAGAUAAAUUCACAAUUAUCUAACCAUCUAACCAAAAGAGCUAAUGUGUAAAAAAUAUUAAUUAAAAAUAAAAAUAAAAACUUAAACAACAUGAAAUAAAAAAUAAAAAAGUGAGUAUGAGAAGAAUUAAACCCAUGACUUAAUGACAAAAGCACUAACAUUUAACCAUCUGACCAAAAGAAUCGAGUUGUCAACUUUCAGUGAAAAGCAUUCAAGAUGCGUUUUCAGUUGACGUGGCUGAUAGCGCGUCCUAUAGGAUGCGUUUUCCUUUUUCUCUUCAAAAACAACAUAGAUCAAUAAAUUAAAAAAAAAACACAUUUACUUAAAAAAAAUUUUCAACAUAUAUUGAUAAUUUAACCAACAUAAAAUGAUGCUAUAUCAAUAAUUAUGCUAAUAAUUUGUAAGAAUUGAAUCAAACCAAAAUUUCAUUUAUAAAAUUGCACAAAAUCAAAAUUCAUGUAUAAAAUUGCACAUUAGACUGAAGUCCAUAUAUAGUUUUGAGAUUUAUAACUUAUAAUUUAGGGAAAGGGUAAACUAUACCACGUGUCACCCAACUAUGGGUCAUUUUCUUUUUUAGUCACCUAACUAUGAUUUUUUUAAUUGGUGUAACACCCUAAACCCAACCUAAAAGUUAUAAUCGAAUCUAGGGAAAUUACAUUGACUCACUUGGAAAACUAAUUUCAGUAAGUAUUAAGCAAAUAUGACUUUCGCAAAUAGUCAUUAGAAAACUAUUUAUUCGCUUUCAGAAACCACUUAAGAAAUUACUUAAUUUGCAGCGGAAAACCUUUUUUGGAAUUUUAGUUUUGAAAAUCAAAAUUUGUUUUGUCGACUUAAGUGAUUUUGCAGUUUCGCGUUAGAAAAUAUCAAUUACUGACGAAUUAAGCAAAACCCAAAACGAGUUUAGAAACAGAUUACAAACCCAAAAGAUCAAAACAAAUAAUUACUAAAUUCACCAUAUUUACAUUAAGCGCAAAAACAAUCUAAGCUCCCACACGCCGUCCAGUCCUAAGUUAGAGGUUUACUUGAACAGACAAAAAUAAAACAAAAUGGUGGGCUAUGAAGCUCAGUGUAUAACUAAACUAAAAAAAAAUCAAACAAAACAUCAUAUACAAAUCAGAGUAACGCAAAGAAUUUCAUAAUAAUCAUAUAACUAGAGCGGAACAAAUCAAAGUGUCACAAAGAUUUUCAUAACGAUCGUAUAAUGGAAUAGAGAAUGUAUGAUUAUGCCAAUGUGGUGUUUUUCAGAAAAUCAAAAUGCAGACUUAUCAAAAAAAAUUCUACCCAACUCUGCUACACACCAAAAUAAAAUUUCUCCAGAACUCAUCCAACCAAAUCACACCAAUAGAUAAUUGGAGACAGUGCCACCAGAAUUGUAGUUAAAACUGCCAGAUCAGAUAUAUGUAGUCAAGCCACUAUGUUGCAGCUAAGUUGCCAGAACAGAUGUAUGUGGUCGAGCCACCAUAAAUGCAGACAAGCUGCCAAAUAGAAUUGUGGAUAAACCACCAAAUAAUGGAGGUCAUUGAACUGCCAAAAACUUCUUCCUUUCACAUCAUCUUGAACCCCAUGGAAUGUGUCAUGACAUGAAUACAGGAUUAGAAUGAUAAUCAUGUAAGACAUGAUGUUGUAUAAUAAUAGAAACAGAAGGCAUAGAAAUCCAUGCUUUGCAAAACAACUUGAUCAAAUCUUAAUGAAUCAUAACAAAAUUUUCAUGAAGUCACAUGCAUGGUUACAUAUCAGAAUCAAUAUCAAACACAACAACUUAUUCGAAUAUCACACAUUCACAACCAGCAAUGUAAGAUAGAAAUGUACCAUCAAAAUUAACAGAGCACAGAUCAUACCUAAAUAAAUAACAUACCUUAAACACAUCCCAAACUAAAACACAUUAUACGCUAACAGAUCUUGUUUACUUAACUUAUAUCAUAUCAGACAUAUGCACAGAUAACGAAUUAUUCAUCAACAGAUCAUCAAAAAUUAAGUUUUAUGGCUUGUUUCAAAUCAUAUGGACCCCAUGGAAGGCUUACGUUUGAGUCGAACGACGUUUACGGUCAUAGGGAAAAAUUCUAAUUUUUGGCCCACACGGCCGUAUGGAUUCACACAACCUACAUGGCUGGCCUGUGUGGCCCACAUGGCCUAGCACACUCCCGUGUAACUCAAGUCAGAGAGUCACACGGUCUAGACACACGCUCGUAUCAUUUGCCAUUGUGACUCAAUCAAAAUAGUCCUUCACACGGUCUGGACACACACUCGUGUGACCCAAGUUAGAGAGUUACAUGGCCUACCACAUGGCCUGGCAUACAGUCAUGUGGCGUCGGCAAUCACGAAGUUUGGCUUUCGUCGUUUGCAAAAUUCUCGAUUUUUGUUACAUACCUGGUUCGAUUUUAACGUAAAAGCAACAAAGAUGAAUUCUGAACCCUAAAAAUAAGAAUCGAACCUUGAUCAAACGAUUUCCAUAACCAAUUCAAUAUCUUCUAACCUGAUUUUUGGGAUGUUACAAUUGAUCACCUAACUAAUCGAGAUUUUUUAUUUGUCCAUUCCUGUUAAUGACACUAACGAGAGGGUGGCGUGUUAAUUGAAAAAUUCGUAUAAAUUUAACCCUCAAGUUUUACAUAUCUUAUCGAUUUAGUCAUAAUUUUAAAAAAUUAACCCUUAAAAUUUACAAAUGGUCUCAAUUUAUUCUAAUUGUAAAAAAUUCAAAGAAAUAUAUAAAAAUAUGUAACUAUUUUUAAAAAUAAAUAAUAAAAUUUAAAAAUAUAUAAAAAUAAAUAAUUUCAAAAAAAUAUAGUAAAACUAAAUUUUAUAUUAAUAUUAGAUCCCCCCCCCCCCUCCGCGUAUUCAUUGAAUUCUUCCUCGUAGGUUUGCGGGGAAGCUGUUGCUUAUGUUAGACAACUUGAGUUCUUUGUUAGAGAGGCACCAGAUGGAAUGAAAUCCAUGAGCGCAGGGCUUUUCCUUACCACCAUUUCAAUGGGGUUCUUUGUGGGCAGUUUAUUAGUGUAUAUCGUGGACCAUACGACUAAAAAGAGCUGGCUAAGGACCAAUCUGAAUAAAUGCAAGUUAAAUAACAUUUACUGGUUAUUUGCAGUGUUGGGAUUUAUAAAUUUAUUGGUCUUUCUUAUGCUUGCAUCAGGACAUCAGUACAGAAAGCAUCUGCCCAUUAAACCUGAGUCAAGAGAGGAGCUUAAGAGCUUGAACAAUGAAAUGAUAGAAGACGUGGAGAAGAAGACAAGCAUCCAAUCAUUGGAAAAUAUAGAGCCAUAGAAUUGGUGGAGGGGAGGAUUCUUUUAAAUUUAAUAUUAAAUUUAAUAUUAAUAUUAAUAUAUAAAUUAAAAUUAUUAUUAUAUUUUUAAAAAUAUUUAUAUAUUUUUAAAUUUAUUAUUAUAUAAUUUUAAAAUAUUUAUGUAUUUUUUUUAAAAAAUUUUAGAAUUAGGAUCAAAUUAAGAUUAUUUAUAAAAAUUGAGAAUUAAUUUUUUAAAAUUAUAACUAAAUCAAUGUAAUAUAUAAAAAUUGAAGGUUAAAUUUAUUAUUAUAUUAAUUUUUCAACAGUCACAUCAUCCUCCCGUUAAUACAAAUAAUAAAAAUUGAUAAAAGAUGAUCUCGAUAAAAUGCCUAAUUGGAUGAUGAAUUGAUAAAAAAAAUACCCAUAAUUGAAUAACGUGUGAUGUAGAACAAAUUGGUUGUUUAAUUAAUAGCACAUAACAAAAGUCUUCUUAUUAUUUUCAUUUGAAACUUAUCCUUAGAAAAAGUGAGAAGAAAGGACCGUUGGGAGGGGGCCAUGGGCCCAAUAUUUUGUUUGCAUUCCCAUGUCAAUUUUUAUCGUCACAAGAGUUUCCUGAUUAGAGAUAGCAACGUGGCGAAGGUGCAGUGGUUUUUUUUUCCUUCUUUUCCCCACACUGACUCUAGGGGUGUGCAUAAUUCGGGUAAAACCGAAAAAAUUCGGUUAACCGACCGAAUUCGGUUAAUCGGUCGGUUAACCGAAUUUUUUCGGUCGGGAGUCGGUUAAUUUUUUUAUGAUUUUUCGGUUAACGGUUAAUUCGGUUCGAAACCGGUCUGUUAACCGAAAAUUUUCGGUUAACCGAAAAAAUUAAUAAAUAAAAUUAUCCAACCCAACCCAAACUCAAUUUCCCAACCUAAUAAAACUAAAACUAAAGUUUACCCAAUUACCCAAUCCAAUAAAACUAAAACUAAAAGACAACCCAAUUUACUAAAGUCUAAAACCCAAUUUACUUUAAUAAUUUAUAAUUUUUAAAAUUUUAAAAAUAAAAAAUAAAAAAAAUUCGGGUAAUUCGGGUAUUUUUCGGUAAUUCGGUUAAUUCGGUUAAUUCGGGUAAUUCGGUUAAUUCGGGUAAUUCGGGUAAUUUUUAACCAAAAAUAAAAAAUACAUAAUUUUCGGUUAAUUCGGUUAACCGACCUUAUUAACCGAAAAAAUUUCGGUUCGGUUAAAUUUUUUUUUAAAAAAAUCGGUUCGGUUAACGGUUAAAAUUUUUGGAAGGUCGGUUAAUUCGGANNNNNNNNNNNNNNNNNNNNNNNNNNNNNNNNNNNNNNNNNNNNNNNNNNNNNNNNNNNNNNNNNNNNNNNNNNNNNNNNNNNNNNNNNNNNNNNNNNNNNNNNNNNNNNNNNNNNNNNNNNNNNNNNNNNNNNNNNNNNNNNNNNNNNNNNNNNNNNNNNNNNNNNNNNNNNNNNNNNNNNNNNNNNNNNNNNNNNNNNNNNNNNNNNNNNNNNNNNNNNNNNNNNNNNNNNNNNNNNNNNNNNNNNNNNNNNNNNNNNNNNNNNNNNNNNNNNNNNNNNNNNNNNNNNNNNNNNNNNNNNNNNNNNNNNNNNNNNNNNNNNNNNNNNNNNNNNNNNNNNNNNNNNNNNNNNNNNNNNNNNNNNNNNNNNNNNNNNNNNNNNNNNNNNNNNNNNNNNNNNNNNNNNNNNNNNNNNNNNNNNNNNNNNNNNNNNNNNNNNNNNNNNNNNNNNNNNNNNNNNNNNNNNNNNNNNNNNNNNAAAAAAAUAAUUUUAAAAAGAUUAAAUCAAAAUUUUAUUAAUUUUAAAGAAUUAAAAUAUAAUUUAUUUUUAUCAAUUUAAAAUUUUAAAAGAGCUAAAUAAAUUUUUUUUCAUUUUAACAAAAACGGUCCUGCCAGCCCAGCACCUAGCUUGUUGUAUAUAAUAUUAUAAAUAUAGUUUAAAAUAAUAAACAUUUAUUUCUAGAAAAUGGAAAUGGAAUUGAACCAUUAUUGUGUUAGAAAAAGUCAAAAAAAAAAAAAAAAAAACUCCUUGAGAAGGACAAUAUUCUCAUCCAAGGCAGCUCGGAUUCCUAUCAUUUUACCCUAAAGACAUCAACUUUAUCUUCCUUUUGUGUUCAACGUUCAUGAUUUUAGAGGCCUAAUCUUUUAUUUAAUGAAAUACAUCCAAUUUUAUAUAAGGGUCCACUACCCGAAGUCCUUGGAAACUUCUACAUUUUCUUGCACCGUAUGUAUGUAUGGGUAGAAUUUCCAUUUUUCUUCUGCAUGCAUGUGCCAUGCCCCAGUACUUGGCUACAAAAUUAAAGCUAAAUUGAAUCAAUCACUCAAUAUAAUAAUAUCCUGCUGAAAAACCAUUCUAAAUUGGUUUAUGCAUUUAAGGUCAUGACCCUGUUUUCAUAAGUGUAAAUUUUAUGGAUUCUGAUUAACCCGUACAUUGACUAGAUUUUUAAUUACUAUUAGGGCCCUAACCCCACUCCCUCACUCUACUGUAAAACAAGAUUUUCAUGACUAAAAACCGCAGAGAAUCACGGCUUAACCCCUAUAAAUGCAGUCCUUAGAAAGACUCAGCUUCACCACCUUUCUUUAAGUCUCUUACAGCUAAGCUUUAAGCAAAAUAUGGGGUUUGCAGUAGCAGCUAAAGCUGCCUUGCUCCUGCACCUUUCCCUUUUCGUACUGAGUAGCUUCACGGUGUCCUCUCAGAUCUUGCCUGAGGCUUUGCCUCCUCAUUACCAUGGAAUUUCGCCUGUAGUGCCACCUGCUCACCCACCAAGCCACCACCACCACCACCACCAUCACCAUUCCCAUCCGCAUCCCCACCCGCCAACCCCUUCCCCUACUAAGCCCCCAACUCACCCACCUGUUUACCCCCCGCCCAAAGCACCCAAGAUUGCUCCAGUUUAUCCACCACCCAAGUCACCAAGCAAGCCGCCAACUUACGCUCCUCCACCCAAGUCACCCAGCAAGCCGCCAACUUACGCUCCUCCACCCAAGUCACCCAGCAAGCCGCCAACUUACGCUCCUCCGACCAAGCCACCAACUUACGCCCCUCCACCCAAGCCACCAGUUUAUCCUCCAACUAAGCCACCGACUGCGCCCCCGACUAAGCCACCAGUGCACCCACCAACAUAUCCUCCACCAUCGCCUUCUCCACCUAAGCCGCCAACUUAUCCUAAACCACAAAGGAGCCUAGUGGCUGUUCAGGGCGUUGUUUUUUGCAAGUCAUGCAAAUACGCUGGAUCUGACACCCUGUUGGGAGCGAAGCCUAUUUUGGGUCAGUUUGAAACCUAUCAUUAUACUUAAAAAAAGAGAUUAAAAUUUACAUCUUUUCACUAAACAAAAACUUUAAGUGCAAUGCUUGGUUAUAUUCAUUUGCAUCGAGAAUUAUUAGCCCUAGUACGUCUAUCUUUUUAAUGGCCUAAUAAUUUUGAUUUAGGCAUGCAUGUGACUUCCAUGUUUGUUUGAAAGGGGAAACUUGCAUUUUAAAUUUGAGUUCAGAGAGAGAGAGAGAGAGAGAGAAAUGGUUUCUUGGAUUUUAACUUAAAAGAGUGACUGUGUGAGGUAACGUCAAUAGCUUGGCGUUUUAUGAGUUAAAGCAGCAAACUUUACCUUUUUUCAACGUUAGAGCUCAUACUUCUAGGUUCCUACAACAUCAAUGACUGGCAUGCAUUGCAUUGUCAUGGAACCCUACGUUGAAACUUGAAACAAAAGGAAAAAACCCAUUAGCUUCUUUUUCUUUUCCCAUUGAAGAGUUAAUUAAUUUAAAACUAUACUCGAGUAAUACUGACUAGACUGAGCACAUUGGUUUUGAUUUUUAUAGGUGCCACUGUAAAGCUGACAUGCAAGAACACCAAAUACAAGCAAGAGGCCACUGCGAAAACUGACAAGAAUGGCUAUUUCUUCCUGCAAGCACCAAAGACCGUCACCAGCUUUGGAGCCCACAAAUGCACAGU